Long non-coding RNA from Paramormyrops kingsleyae, 266 nucleotides. RefSeq lists it as uncharacterized. Lineage: Eukaryota; Metazoa; Chordata; Actinopteri; Osteoglossiformes; Mormyridae. The record is from RefSeq and is a predicted model, not a curated record.
GUCAUUCUGAAACGUAGAAUCCUUAAAGGGAUAGGGACAAUACCCACUGUGAUCUGCAUGCAGAAGACAAGAUCAAUAGAGUUUAGCCGAUACAGGAAAACUUUUCUCGAACUGGCAAGAUAUCGAUGACAUGAAACUAACCACAGGACAGACGUUACUGCAUAAAAUACACAUCAAUUUCCUGUGAAAGAUCAUUGUUACUCAGAUAAUUACUCGUUUGGUAGGUAAUUUUACCUAAAUUUCUACCUUCAAGAAUAACCAUAAAG